UACGGAGGGUGCAGGCGUUAAUCGGAAUUACUGGGCGUAAAGCGUGCGCAGGCGGUUUUCUAAGUCAGAUGUGAAAUCCCCGGGCUUAACCUGGGAACUGCGUUUGAAACUGGGAGGCUAGAGGGCGGCAGAGGGGGGUGGAAUUCCACGUGUAGCAGUGAAAUGCGUAGAUAUGUGGAGGAACGCCGAUGGCGAAGGCAGCCCCCUGGGCCUGCACUGACGCUCAUGCACGAAAGCGUGGGGAGCAAACAGG
This 253-nucleotide ribosomal RNA is filed under the name uncultured bacterium. RNAcentral's name for it is "partial 16S ribosomal RNA". It matches the Rfam family "Bacterial small subunit ribosomal RNA", at positions 524 to 776 of the family's 1533-position model. The record is from RNAcentral.